GGGUCAGUAGGUUGGUCGUGCCACCGGUACGUACUGGUCUCACUGAUUCCUCCUUCCUGAAGAACCGUAAUGCCAUUAAUUUGGUGUUGCGGGGAAACAGGACUGUUACUUUGAAAAAAUUAGAGUGUUUAAAGCAAGCUAACGCUUGAAUACGAUAGCAUGGAAUAAUGAAAUAGGACGAUCGAUCCUAUUUUGUUGGUUUCUAGGAUUGACGUA
This 216-nucleotide ribosomal RNA is filed under the name Glomeromycotina sp. Its description in RNAcentral is "partial small subunit ribosomal RNA". The stretch from base 40 to 216 matches the Rfam family "Eukaryotic small subunit ribosomal RNA", at positions 686 to 864 of the family's 1831-position model. The record is from RNAcentral. Lineage: Eukaryota; Fungi; Glomeromycota.